RNAcentral lists this ribosomal RNA (503 nucleotides) under uncultured bacterium. RNAcentral's name for it is "partial 16S ribosomal RNA". It matches the Rfam family "Bacterial small subunit ribosomal RNA", at positions 30 to 523 of the family's 1533-position model. The record is from RNAcentral.
AUUGAACGCUGGCGGUAGGCUUAACACAUGCAAGUCGAGCGGGGUGAUGGUGCUUGCACUAUCACUUAGCGGCGGACGGGUGAGUAAUGCUUAGGAAUCUGCCUAUUAGUGGGGGACAACAUCUCGAAAGGGAUGCUAAUACCGCAUACGUCCUACGGGAGAAAGCAGGGGAUCACUUGUGACCUUGCGCUAAUAGAUGAGCCUAAGUCGGAUUAGCUAGUUGGUGGGGUAAAGGCCUACCAAGGCGACGAUCUGUAGCGGGUCUGAGGGGAUGAUCCGCCACACUGGGACUGAGACACGGCCCAGACUCCUACGGGAGGCAGCAGUGGGGAAUAUUGGACAAUGGGGGGAACCCUGAUCCAGCCAUGCCGCGUGUGUGAAGAAGGCCUUAUGGUUGUAAAGCACUUUAAGCGAGGAGGAGGCUCUUUUGGUUAAUACCCAAGAUGAGUGGACGUUACUCGCAGAAUAAGCACCGGCUAACUCUGUGCCAGCAGCCGCGGUAA